This 253-nucleotide ribosomal RNA is filed under the name uncultured bacterium. RNAcentral describes it as "partial 16S ribosomal RNA". It matches the Rfam family "Bacterial small subunit ribosomal RNA", at positions 524 to 776 of the family's 1533-position model. The record is from RNAcentral.
UACAGAGGGGGCAAGCGUUGUUCGGAAUUACUGGGCGUAAAGGGCGCGUAGGCGGCGCGGUAAGUCACUUGUGAAAUCUCUGAGCUUAACUCAGAACGGCCAAGUGAUACUGCAGUGCUAGAGUGCAGAAAGGGCAAUCGGAAUUCUUGGUGUAGCGGUGAAAUGCGUAGAUAUCAAGAGGAACACCUGAGGCGAAGGCGGGUUGCUAGGCUGACACUGACGCUGAGGCGCGAAAGCCAGGGGAGCAAACGGG